GGCCAUGAUUCAACAAUUGCGAAUUCCUGCAGAUCCGAAGAAGAAACAGUGUGGGUGCAUCCGUUUUCGGACCAAGAGAUGAUAAUCUUAGAGUGAAACUGGUGAGUUUUUCGUACUUUUAGGCCAGAGACGCUUUGCAAGCACGAGCGUCUUGCAUCUUCAGAGCUCAAAAACCUCGAAAAACUCACCAGUUGCAAGCGGUCGUCGCGAAAGCCCUACGCUUGAGUGGAGCACUUAACUUCUUGGUGAGCAGAAGAAAAUUGAUGUUCACCCAGUUAAAUUACUUAAGGCUUCUGCUGUAUGCUUAGUUUCAAGAAUACAAAUUAGCUGUUCCAACCAAUUUGAGUUGCACAAACGCCUGAUGAAGAUUCACUUUUUCACUGGCCAAGAAAUGCUGCUGAUUAUGGCGAUAUUUUUCAGGGCAGAUGCUGAUGAGUGCGACCACCAGGAGAGUCGUUAUAAGUAAUCGUUCCUCUCGAAUGGGCUUUUUCAUGCGCUGAAUAUGCUUAUUGGGGCGAAAGAGUUGACAAGAAGUCAUGGACAUGGACAAAUUGCACGGGCUUUGGCGAUAAAUCUUAAUGAGACCGAGUGAAGGACAUUGGGCGCCAUGCCGGGAGAAACAACUCAGGUCAAUGUGAAAUGUUUUUGUACUCGGCUUUUUACUGCUGAGGAAUGUCGAUUUUGAGCAUCUGGACCACAGCGGCGUACCGUGAAACACAUUGAGAAAUAACACAAAAGAUGCUGGUUGUAAAUCAAUUAUUAGAUCGAAUCUACAGUGAGAAGUUUGGUCAAAUUGUGCAUUUUCAAUGUCGACUUUCAAAUGGUAUCGCAAAAAAUGUUCCUCAUCUGAACCCCCGCUGAAUUACUGAACAAAACUUACUUAACUUUAGGCAUUUUUUUCAGGCUAGGAUGGUAAAGCUGAACACGCCAUCCAAAAAAUGUUCUAUAAAAAAUAAAACCAAAAUACACAAAGAAGGCGGAAAAUCAAUAACGACCAAUGGAACCGCGGGACCAUACAAAUAAACUAGAAAAGCAAUUUUUCAACAGUAAAAAUAUUUAACCCAGCAUCUUUUCUUCACAUCCAAACAGUGAACAACCAUCUACAACUCUCUCGAUAACCGCUUAAGAAAAAAAAAUCAGCAAAUAUUCAAAGCAAUGGAGCUUUCAGUGUUGUUAUACUCAUUUACUUCGUUUGAAGGGGAAAUUCAAAGUUUAGUACUUCAAUUCAUAUUAAAAGCUUCAUCCAAAAAAACAUUUGCAAUUUUCUCAAAAAACUUAGUCGAACUCCACCUUGCCUUGAACUUGUAGAAAAAUUGAGGAGUUUGCAGCCUGCUGAAGCGCACGUUUUAACAUCUUCAUUCUGUUUCGAGUUAUAUGAGCAUAAGACUAUUAAAAAAUAAAAUUUACUUAGAAUUAAAAGUUACGAAAUUAAGCACAAAUUUUGAAACCUUAUUUCUUCAGGCACAAUUUGAAACCGCCGCCUUUUCCAUCAAUCGUAAGAUUAACCAGUUUAUUGAACCGAUUGUGAUACAUUUUUGUUUGUUAAUUUAUUAACAUAGGAGAUAUUUUAUUUAGAAACUUGCUUUUGACUGCGUCAAUAAAGUAUUAAUUAAAAAAAUAUA
Molecule: long non-coding RNA, 1622 nt
Organism: Dendroctonus ponderosae (mountain pine beetle)
Lineage: Eukaryota; Metazoa; Arthropoda; Insecta; Coleoptera; Curculionidae
Exons: 2
Source: RefSeq, a predicted model, not a curated record